Molecule: ribosomal RNA, 324 nt
Filed under: uncultured eukaryote
Lineage: Eukaryota
Description: partial 18S ribosomal RNA
Rfam family: Eukaryotic small subunit ribosomal RNA
Source: RNAcentral
CCCUUAGAUGUCCUGGGCCGCACGCGCGUUACACUGAUGCAUUCAACGAGCUUAUAACCUUGGCCGAGAGGCCUGGGCAAUCUUGUUAACGUGCAUCGUGAUAGGGAUAGAUUAUUGAAAUUAUUAAUCUUGAACGAGGAAUUCCUAGUAAACGCAGAUCAUCAAUCUGCAUUGAUUACGUCCCUGCCCUUUGUACACACCGCCCGUCGCACCUACCGAUUGAAUGUUCCGGUGAGCUCUUCGGACUGCGCGGUCUGCAGUUUCUGCGUUCCGUGCGGAAAGUUGCGCAAACCUUAACAUUUAGAGGAAGGAGAAGUCGUAACA